UACGGCUGCCCCACCCUUCAAACCGAAACGCAUUACUGCUUCACGGCCGAAAUAGGCAGGGUGGUGGUACAUGCCCGUGCGGACUCACAAGAGGUCUAACCACCAGUCAUAUUCAACAUUCAGUCUGUGCCUCUCCCAAAGUGCUCCCUAUUUAUUGGGCCGCGUUGUCUUUCGCAUUCACUCCCUCCCAAAAGGUAUUUUAGAGCCCUCCCGCCUCAAUCACUUUACGAUCGAUAUUGCUGGUCAAUUUCCACUUCAAUUAACCGGUUUUUUAUUUGUUGAUCCGGUACUAAGUUACUGACCCUGUUUCUUUGGCGUACAUCAUUCCUGGUUCUAUCCAAACAGACUUGUGACGACAAACGCGUUUCCAUAGCACGUUGGAGAGUCUACGGUCACAGACCCAAGUUUCACUCAUUUGUACACUACGACAGUUUAAAAAAAUUAUCUCUCAUAUAUUUGUUGUUGUUACGUGUUUUUAUUGCUUGCAUCUUGAUUUCGUUCAUCCACGAAAGCUUGGUUACAUUCCGCAUUAGGUUAUCCUAUAAAAAAAUUUGUACUGUAAUAAUUAAUAUAUUAUGCAUACAUUAACGUUAAUUUGUCGAUUCAUUUGCAGGCGUUUAUUGCGACACUAGUCGGGCAAAUAUAUACAAUGUCUUUUUUUUUUUGGACGAUUUAUAAAAUAGGGUCUGUAAAUUAUAACUACAUAUAUAUACAGUAUACAUAUAAAUUAAUAUAAUAGUAACGGGUUGCGGUGUGCGAGCGGAGGGCGGACCGCGUGUUCGAUUUCUGUCCGUGAUCAUCUUCACUAAUGUAAUAUAAUAUAAUAUAAUAGAUGCAAAUUAAAGUAAAUAAAAUAAAUCGUAUAAAUAUCUCUAUGAACGAAUUGAUAACAUUUAUAUUAUGUAUUCCAAACUAUAUAAAAAAAGGUAGCGAUGUUAAAGGUUUUAUAUUAUAUUAUGUAUGUAAAUGUACCCGGCGACUGUUGAAAGUUGGCGUGACAAUAAAACGUAGGCUUAGAGAUACGAUAAGAUUCUCGCGUUCGUCAUCUGUGACUCGGACAGUCACUUGACGUGCGCCGUCUACGUAACGAAUGCACGAUAAAAGACUUCUCUUAUUCCCUUCGUUGUAGUGAUGUGAAAGGUCGUUGUCGAUAAACGCAGCCCGAGCUUUUAUCGAUACCGGUGGUGUGAUGAUUUGUGAUGACGGCAUCAAGGGGAGCUUAGUCCAUGACCUCCGCGCGGUGCUCCCUGGGUAGCGCCAAAUGUGGACGUUGGUAUUCACAUUGAUAACACACAUGAAUCGUUUGUGGCACGCGCUCGUGAAUAGUGAUGCACUCUUACGAUGAUAUCGAAUGUCGACGCUAGUGCGUUGAGUUACUUGAGCGCUAUGCUUAGUUCAAUAUGACAUUGUCAAAUGUUAAUAUAUGUAUAAUAAAUAAAUGAUUUUAGACGAAUCGUAGAAACCGCAGACGCGAUUCACUUAGGGUAACUAGUUGUUAUUGUAACUUAUCGAUAAUUUCAACUGGAUGAAUUCCCGUGUAUAAAUCGCUAUAAUAUCGGAUUAAAAAAACGUUUGUACAUAUGUAAAUAUAGGGGAUGAUGAUGGGGGAGAGAGUUUGCGUCCUCCCGCACGCAUAAAAAAAACGGCUUCUAUAAAUACUAUAUAAAUAUUUGUGAUGUAAAAAGAUUUUUCAAAUUAUACAAAAAAAAAUUAUCAUAGAAAAAAUCACAAAAAAAAAUAUGAUUAAAUUGUUCGGAGAGGGCCUACCAGACCCGCGCCAUGUUCGAAGCGAUAGUUCUAGAUUUUUCUCACCCGAGAACAUGGCGCCGGGCCUCGAAUACAAUUAAAAUAUCGUUCUUCUAUAUGUAUAUGUUUAUCUUUUUUUUUUCUUUUUUUUUUGUUGUAAUAAAAAUUUUAUUGUUGCGUCCGCGUAUUCGUUUGUUGGUACUCUGUCAGAUAUGUGUAUAUGUAAAACGUGAUGAGCGUGUGUUGUUUGUUGUGCGCAUUUUACGUAUGAAAGUGUAUUUUUUUUUUUUGUAACGAUGUAAUUAUUUUUCGAAGUGUCACAACACUAGUUGUUUUUAAUUUCGAGUGUGGCGCCAUCUGAGGCGACUGUUGCGUCGUCUUAUUAUGUAACUUGAGUUUGUCCUCGAUUUUCAACGAAAAACGUACGGGAACUUUGCUCCUUAUAAGUUUUCCGUACGCAGGUUGUGGUCUUACGUAAUUCCAGUGCGUCCGCGCGCGCCUUGCCGCCGGGGGGCGCCACUGGGUACUAGCUAGAACUGUGGCUUACGCACAUUGCUAUAGCAUUUAGUACGGAUUUCGAUCAAGCGCGCACCUUGCCGCGCCCUGAUUGGUCAGCUCCUAUACGAAGAUAAGGUAUAUCGGUGCCUUGUUGAGACUACGCGAAUAACGGUCUUAAUCGAACCGGCGAUAAGGUUCGUAAUCGGCCGGCUUUCCUAGGCGAGCCCGUGUGGGAUUUGCAAGUAUCCGCUGUCGCGUGACGUCUGUCUUGACGAACACGGCUGUUUUCCUGUUACGCUAUUUGUAAUAAGUGUUUGAACGGGGCGGGCUUGCACCGAGAUCUCUGUAUGUGUGUGCAGCUCAUAAUUGUAUGUCUUGAUGAUGCUAAGGUGAUGUUUUAAGUGGCACAUGACUGUGAACAUUGAUUUUGGGUUUGCAUUUGUUGUACUUGUGCACCUACGAGGCUUAUAAUAUAUAAAAAAAGGAAAGUUUGUAAGCCGUCGAGUCUAAGGAAGCAUUUCAAAUUUGUUUGCCUUAAAUUUAAAAAAAAAUGAGCAUUUCAGUUUUCGAAUAACUAAAAAAAAAAAAACAAUUGUGACUCGAACCCAAAAUCAGUGCGUAAAUUUAACAAAAAAAAAAUGUGAGUCGCUUUAAUGGUUGAAACGACCAUUUAAUCUUAGAUAACUAGAGAUUGCCUUAUUACCCGUACGUCGGGCGUGUAUGAACGAUUGUUAUCGACGCGUGUGCUAAGCGUUGCGUUUUCAUUAUUAUAAAGAGAACAAAAAAAAAAUGAAUUAUUUUUCUUAAUCUUUUCGGGAGUUUUUUACGUAUGGCAACAUUGUUUUUAAAAAAAAAUCUAGAAAAAAGGCGGUAAAAAUGCAAUGAAUUUUAUUAUGUUGCCAUUCCUAUUAAUAUGAAUUCUUCAGUUUGGGUUUUUUUUUUAAACCAGAGCGUUUUGUUUUGCGUUAACGUUUUGCAGAAUUAACAAAGUCUCGUUGUAAUCUUCGAGCGGUUUAAUGUGCUCGGUAAACUCGCAAUAUACAUUUAAUAUUUUAUUUUAUAAAUCCAAUUUUAUCAUGAACUUUCCUGAAAUCAGAACCGGAAAGUAUGUUUCUUUUUUCCCCCUACAUUUUUACUGGUAGCCUAAGGGACUCACUGGCUCGACCUGAGAGAGUAUCCUAACGCUAGCCCUAGCAAGAGCAGUGCUUCGCAGAAUCUACUACCGGAUCGGAAUCGCGACCCACUGAGAAAAUCCGGCGAGAAACUCAGUGGGUUGAAAGUAUGCAUAAAUUUAAGUGAACAGUGAUAAUUAUGAACUGAGAAGCAUAAGAAUUUAUUUAGGAAGUUUUGGGUUUCAUAAUGAUUUGAGAAAAAAGUUGUGCAAUUUUGGGAAUAAAUAAUAAUAGAUUUCAAAAGUUUAAAUUAGAAAUGUUUUAAUAAAUAUUAUGUUUGUCUCUCUUACUCUAUCUAUUAAACCGCCUGAAGUCAACCAAAGUCACUAUGGCCGGCGUUCCCUUUCUUUUUUUGCCAAAUAAUCACAUUGGUCCACGCGCUUUGGACGUUAGCGAAAUUGAAUUUGUUUUCGUUCGCCAUUUUUUUAUAUUAUAUUAAUGAAAACGUGACGCCUUUUUGUGUAAUAUAAUAAAGACUGAAGGAAAAAAUGUGUGGAUGAAGCCGGAGUAUUAUGUAAGAUUGGAUUUUUUUUUAUUGUUAUUGUAAAAAAAAAUGUAUGAGCCUAAAUGCGUGCGCGCCAACGCGUGCUGUGUAGAUUGUGUGCGAUCCGUGUUUACUGGGACGAGUCGGGAUAGACGUUAAAAGAAAUUUGGUUAAAUCAUGUCCUAUGGCAAAUAUUAUCUUAAGUUGAAACAGAAGCCAAUAUAUACAUAAUAUAUAUAGAUAGAUUGAGGGUAAACGAAUUUUAACGCAAUAAUAACUACAAAUUUCAAAUUUAAAGAAAUAUACUCCCCAAGCAGAGUAACCCUCAUUUUGUUUAUUUCAUAAAUAGUUUAAGUCGUUUUGAAUACAAGAACUAAUUGUCUGAUCUCUAGAAUAUAUUUACUUGAACAAUAUUUAAAAAGAAAACUUGCGUACUCUAUAAAAUUUUGAUCCAUUAAAAUUCUGAAAGUAUUAAAUUCAGUUUGUCGAACUAUGACGGCUUUGAGAUGCACUGGAAAUCACUUUUAGUAAAUUUUAGGGAUCAGGCAAAUGACUCGACUGCCCGAACGCUAUCUCUCAACGUCAUCGCACACAUCAUAAAGAAUGUACAUAAAUGCUCAUCCCGGAUCCAGAACGUUAGAACAAUCUUCGUUAAAAUAUAAAAACAAUUAUAAACAAAUCCAUUAUUAUUUUCGUGAAUGUCGCGCCAUACGCGAUCCACUACAGCAAGUGCCAAAAAUAAAACUGUUCUGGCACUUUUCGAAGGACCGUCCUCUCAUUGGUUCGCGCGACAGCGGCACGACGCGCUCACGACAACGUCACGACACGACAAGACAACGAAUGUUUGGUUUCUAUUGUGUUCGCUGUAACGUCCACCAAUGAGGUUCGGUCGGUUUUGUUGAACGACAUUUAAGACCUGUCGUUAUUUUUCAAUAAAAAGUUUAAAAAAAAUGUGUUUUGAACACAACA
Long non-coding RNA from Bombyx mandarina (wild silkworm), 4869 nucleotides. Lineage: Eukaryota; Metazoa; Arthropoda; Insecta; Lepidoptera; Bombycidae. The record is from RefSeq and is a predicted model, not a curated record.